This 287-nucleotide long non-coding RNA is filed under the name Mytilus galloprovincialis (Mediterranean mussel). Lineage: Eukaryota; Metazoa; Mollusca; Bivalvia; Mytilida; Mytilidae. The record is from RNAcentral.
AAAAGAGCCAUUUUUACUGUUUAUUGAUGUUGACCAAGUUUAUCCGUUGGACUACACGUGUGAUGUGUAUUGCGUAAUGUUGACUGUAUUGCUGUUGUGUUUCAUUCCGCCGUAACCUAUAUUUGACUCUUUUUAAAAACGUAAUUAUAUUUACUGUGUUUUGGUGAUAACUGUAUCGCCAUGGUUUUGCAGAUUUCCAAGAAGACCUAUUUUAAAGAAAAGAUGAUAAAUUUAUUGUGUACGAGAACAUUUUAUUUUUAACUAUGUUGAUUUUAUGAAUCCAGAUA